ACACUGCUCUUUUUGUGCUAUUGUUCAGUUACCUUAUGAAUGAAUCCAUGUAGAGAAAUGAUAGCUGUUAAUACACGUCUGUACAUACUGUAUAUAAAAUGGGAUAUACUUUUGUAAAUGGAGUUGAUUGA
Molecule: long non-coding RNA, 131 nt
Organism: Salarias fasciatus (jewelled blenny)
Lineage: Eukaryota; Metazoa; Chordata; Actinopteri; Blenniiformes; Blenniidae
Exons: 3
Source: RefSeq, a predicted model, not a curated record